RNAcentral lists this ribosomal RNA (489 nucleotides) under uncultured soil bacterium. Its description in RNAcentral is "bacterial SSU rRNA". It matches the Rfam family "Bacterial small subunit ribosomal RNA", at positions 26 to 508 of the family's 1533-position model. The record is from RNAcentral.
AGGACGAACGCUGGCGGCGUGCUUAACACAUGCAAGUCGAACGAUGAAGCCUAGCUUGCUAGGUGGAUUAGUGGCGAACGGGUGAGUAAUACGUGAGUGACCUACCUUUGACUCUGGGAUAAGCCUGGGAAACUGGGUCUAAUACCGGAUACGACCAAUCUCCGCAUGGGGUGUUGGUGGAAAGCGUUAUGGAGUGGUUUUAGAUGGGCUCACGGCCUACCAGCUUGUUGGUGAGGUAAUGGCUUACCAAGGCGACGACGGGUAGCCGGCCUGAGAGGGUGACCGGCCACACUGGGACUGAGACACGGCCCAGACUCCUACGGGAGGCAGCAGUGGGGAAUAUUGCACAAGUGGGCGCAAGCCUGAUGCAGCGACGCCGCGUGAGGGAUGGACGGUCCCGUUACGGGUUCGUUAAACCUCGUUGUUAGCAUACGGAAGAAAGACGAAAGUGGAACGGUAGGUAGCGAAGGAAGGAAAGCCGACCGGUAC